GAUGAACGCUAGCUACAGGCUUAACACAUGCAAGUCGAGGGGCAGCGGGAUUGAAGCUUGCUUCAAUUGCCGGCGACCGGCGCACGGGUGAGUAACGCGUAUCCAACCUUCCGUACACUCAGGGAUAGCCUUUCGAAAGAAAGAUUAAUACCUGAUGGUAUGAUGAGAUUGCAUGAUAGCAUCAUUAAAGAUUUAUCGGUGUACGAUGGGGAUGCGUUCCAUUAGGGUAGUAGGCGGGGUAACGGCCCACCUAGCCGACGAUGGAUAGGGGUUCUGAGAGGAAGGUCCCCCACAUUGGAACUGAGACACGGUCCAAACUCCUACGGGACGGCAGCAGUGAGGAAUACUU
This 349-nucleotide ribosomal RNA is filed under the name uncultured bacterium. RNAcentral's name for it is "bacterial SSU rRNA". It matches the Rfam family "Bacterial small subunit ribosomal RNA", at positions 28 to 366 of the family's 1533-position model. The record is from RNAcentral.